This is an RNA transcript of Triticum aestivum (bread wheat), 888 nucleotides long. It is a transcript of the gene named ubiquitin-60S ribosomal protein L40-1-like, with no coding region annotated. The record is from RefSeq and is a predicted model, not a curated record. The transcript is spliced from 3 exons. Lineage: Eukaryota; Viridiplantae; Streptophyta; Magnoliopsida; Poales; Poaceae.
AUGGGCCAAAACUGUAGAGUGUGGUUGCUCCUCCGACCGAGCCCCGGGCUUCGCGGCGAAGGGGCCUCACUCGCUAGGGCUCCCAUAGGUUACGUAGCGGCUGCGUCUCCUCCUCGGCUCGCUCGCUCUAUAAAGAGCACCGCGUCCGCGGCGCCAGUCCACUUCCACCACCACCACCGUCCGGCGAGAGGAGAGCAGAGGAGGAGCGAGCAACCGGCGGCGAGGCGAUGCAGAUCUUCGUGAAGUCGCUGACCGGGGGGACCAUGACGCUCGAGGUCGAGAGCUGCACGGCCGUCGACAGCGUCAAGGCCAAGAUCCACGACAAGGAAGGUAUCCAGCCGGACCAGCAGCGCCUCAUCUUCGCGGGGAAGCAGCUCGACGAUGGCCGCACCCUGGCCGACUACAGCAUCCACAAGGAGUCCACGCUUCACCUCGCGCUGCGCCUCGUCGGCGGUGGCAAGGGCGGGUACUACCCCACCAGGAUGGAGCCUAACCUGCGCAUGCUUGCGCUCAAGUACAGGCAGCACAGGCUUGUGUGCCGCAAGUGCUAUGCACGCCUGCCCCUCAGGUCUGCCAACUGCCGCAAGAAGAAGUGCGGCCACAGCAAUGACAUCAGGCCCAAGGAGAAGCUGCGCCCCCACUAAAGCGUUGGAAACAUAACUAAGUGACAUACGAUAGCUGGAUUAACUGGGAAUUCAAAGUUCGGUUCGAGUCUUAGUUUCAGUUAAAUGUUGCUUCUGGAAUCUAGAACCCUAUGCUCCUGUAUCAGUUUCUCUCGUAGUACUGUCCAAUUUGCUCUUGCAUGAAUGAUGAAAUCAGGUAUUUGAGGUCUACUAGCUUGAAUGGGUAUAUGAUGAAGUCAAGUAAUGCUCUUGCUUCCUAUAUUUC